UUGUUGCCGGAGAUCUGCAGAGGUGGGAAGCUGGUAGUGAUAAUUUUCAUAUGCUUGAGCAACUAAUAUUGCAUCAGUUGCGUGAUCUGGAGGAGAUUCCCGAGAGUAUUGCAGAUAUAAUGACACUAAAAUUCAUCCAAAUAAACUGUUGCGGCUCUGGUGUAGACACUAGUGCAACGAAAAUUCAAGAAGAGCAACAAAGCUUAGGAAAUUAUGAGCUUCAAGUUUGAAUUACUCCUAUGCCCGACUUAGCUCGAGCUACUACACCUGUUGCUUGGAACAGCUGGGAUAAGAAAUCUUUACGGAAUAGGGAGACAGUGAAGGUGCCACUUGUUAGGCGCGUGAUUGAGGUGUCUCGUAGAGCUUCGAAGCUUUUAAAACGUACCCUAAUGGGGUUUGGAAAAGAUCGC
This is a long non-coding RNA of Solanum stenotomum, 410 nucleotides long. RefSeq lists it as uncharacterized. The record is from RefSeq and is a predicted model, not a curated record. The transcript has 3 exons. NCBI's taxonomy places the organism in Eukaryota, Viridiplantae, Streptophyta, Magnoliopsida, Solanales, Solanaceae.